This is a long non-coding RNA of Callorhinchus milii (elephant shark), 1647 nucleotides long. RefSeq lists it as uncharacterized. The transcript has 2 exons. Lineage: Eukaryota; Metazoa; Chordata; Chondrichthyes; Chimaeriformes; Callorhinchidae. The record is from RefSeq and is a predicted model, not a curated record.
GCACUAUAUCAAAUGCAAGGCUUAUUAUUAUCUCCUUGCCUACUGUAUAUACAGACUUGCCUUUUAAUCGUAGUCAUAGUGUUAAAGAGAUGCAUUGCUAUUGAGAACAACUGACUGAAAAAAAGUCUGAGGGUUUACAAGCUAUUCAGAAAGUUAACCAAAUUCCAUGACUUACUGGCAGGAAAAGUGAUAAUUUAAGGGUUUGAAAGAAUAAGUAACUAUUGGUCUGUGUACACUUGUAAGCUUACGAAUUUGUGAAGUAGUUUGAGAUGUUUGUUUAUGUGAAACAUAAAAAUGGCAUGCAUAUGGGGAAAAACCCACAAAUGAACACUUAAUGGAACUGGUUGGAUAGAGAUCAAAAGACAGAGAGGGAUGGGUCACAUACUUUUUCUGUUUUUUUAAAUUUUGUUCUUCAGUUAUUAAUGGGUGGUGUUUCAGUAAACUUUUGAGUUUAUAGUUUAUGAAUAUUUGAUCAGUCUUUUCUUAAUACAGUUUUGAAAUGCCACAUCUGAAUUUUCUGCUCAAAUAACCGUGGUAUUGCUGCGUCAAAUUUAUGCUGUAUGGAAUGCCUGAUUAUUUCUUGGUGAUCAUGAUAAUGGUAAUUAAUUCAUAAUUUUUUCAGGUUCAGAACCGAUUCCAAUUAUCUACAAUUUAAGAAGCUUCUCCAGUCUUGGCAUAGAUCCACACAUCAGGAUACACAGUCCAGUACUUGAGUUACCCAGGCAAAAUUGAAGUAUUGUAUAGUCCUGCAUCUCCCUUCCCACCAGUAUUACAAUUGAAAACGUACUUGAGAACCUCCUUCACAUCUGUUUUUCACCAUUGUCUGUGUCUUCCACUCUGCUCCAGCUCCAAACAAGCUGACAGCUUAUGUUGAAGAUCAGGGAAGCAAAAAAAAAAACCUAACCUCAUUGGCCAUUCUGCAGUCUGAAGAUGUGAGGUAAACAUUCCCUGGCAAUGGUUUCUGGAAAUCUGGGCAGUGGCUGAAACGUUUCUAUUAUUAAUCAAUAGCUUAAUGCAGUAGCAACAACAUGGAUUAAUUAAGUAUAGUCAAGAGACAGCAGAAUGUGUUUGAAUCUCAGAACAUUGCACAUAAUAAGACUUAAGUGUAGUGAUCUUUUCAUUUUAAUAUUUGAGCUGGAUUCUGUUUUAAUAGCAAUCUUAACUAAUGUCAUAGCAGUUCUAUUCACUCCUAAUAAAUUACAUAAUUCUAAUCGAAAUUUAAUUGACUGGAAAACUAAGAUUUAAAAAAAAUCUUUACUGUUACUUUGUAAUCUUCAAUUUCAAUCAAUCAUUUUCCUUUUUUUAAUUUUUCCUCUGGGUUAUACAACAUUAUGUAUUUAUCAUGCAAAAAAUUGUGCUGGACAUUUAGAGUGAAACAAAAGCAGAGCUGGGAAAAGUCAGCAGGUCAGGCAGCAUCUAUGGAGAAAGGAAAGUGAGUCAACGUUUCGGGUCCACAACACUUCAGAACAUUGCACGCAGCCUGAAUUGAUCAUCAAUAAUCCCCACUUUGACUUGUUUGAAGGUGUAUUCAGUAAAUUACAUUUCUAAUCUUGUGUCUGUUGCCCAUAUGAUAAUUCCACAUAACACGAUGAUGUUUGAAUAAAGAGGAUGAAAUGGGCGAAAAACAUUUUCUUAAUGUGACACAAA